Molecule: ribosomal RNA, 313 nt
Filed under: Escherichia coli
Lineage: Bacteria; Pseudomonadati; Pseudomonadota; Gammaproteobacteria; Enterobacterales; Enterobacteriaceae
Description: partial 23S ribosomal RNA
Rfam family: Bacterial large subunit ribosomal RNA
Source: RNAcentral
CCAGACAGCCAGGAUGUUGGCUUAGAAGCAGCCAUCAUUUAAAGAAAGCGUAAUAGCUCACUGGUCGAGUCGGCCUGCGCGGAAGAUGUAACGGGGCUAAACCAUGCACCGAAGCUGCGGCAGCGACGCUUAUGCGUUGUUGGGUAGGGGAGCGUUCUGUAAGCCUGCGAAGGUGUACUGUGAGGUAUGCUGGAGGUAUCAGAAGUGCGAAUGCUGACAUAAGUAACGAUAAAGCGGGUGAAAAGCCCGCUCGCCGGAAGACCAAGGGUUCCUGUCCAACGUUAAUCGGGGCAGGGUGAGUCGACCCCUAAGG